This 251-nucleotide ribosomal RNA is filed under the name uncultured bacterium. Its description in RNAcentral is "partial 16S ribosomal RNA". It matches the Rfam family "Bacterial small subunit ribosomal RNA", at positions 57 to 305 of the family's 1533-position model. The record is from RNAcentral.
GCAAGUCGAACGGUAGGAAGUGCUUGCACUUCCGAGAGUGGCGAACGGGUGAGUAACACGUAGAUGAUCUACCUUUUAGUUGGGGAUAGCCCAUGGAAACAUGGAGUAAUACCGAAUAAUCUCUUAUUGCUUUAGUGGUUUGAGGAAAGAAGCGUUUGCUUCGCUGAAAGAUGAGUCUGCGCACUAUUAGCUAGUUGGUGGGGUAAGAGCCUACCAAGGCGACGAUAGUUAGCCGACCUGAGAGGGUGAUC